This is a long non-coding RNA of Hibiscus syriacus, 741 nucleotides long. RefSeq lists it as uncharacterized. NCBI's taxonomy places the organism in Eukaryota, Viridiplantae, Streptophyta, Magnoliopsida, Malvales, Malvaceae. The transcript has 2 exons. The record is from RefSeq and is a predicted model, not a curated record.
UUCUUUUCCUUGCAGAACUAGAAGUACUUGAAGCAACUCAGCUUGCUGAGUUCCAACGAUGUAUGGUUCCUCUUUUCAGCCAGAUUGCCCUUUGCCUCAAUAGCUCUCAUUUUCAGGUCGCAGAAAGAGCCCUCUUCUGGUGGAAUAAUGAGCACAUUGUGAGCUUAAUUGCCCAAAACCGGCAGGUGAUAUUACCGAUUAUCUUCAAGGCAUUGGAGUAGAAUAUCCAAAAUCAUUGGAAUCAGGCUAUUCAUGGGUUGACUGUGAAUGUGCAAAAGGUGUUCAUGGCAAUGGAUGCCGAGUUGUUCGAGGAGAGUGAGAGACAAUUUGAAGAGAAAAAGGCCAGAGCCCAAGAGGUGGAAGAGCAACGAGAAAUGACUUGGAAAAAAAUGGUGGAUGCGGCAGCGCAGAGAGGGAAAGAUGAUAUGGUUACAGCCUAAUGGAUGAAUCAGAGUUGAUCCGUCAAUGAUUGGGUGCUGGGAUGAUGGCUGUGCUGCUGUUCCCUUCUCCGUUAUGGUGGUAUUCUCUUUUCAAUUUUACUUUGGGGCUGAAAAUGAUCAUUGAAGAUACCUGAGAAAGAGCGGCGAUCAAUGUAAUGUAAACUGUAUUGAAUUGGCUAGUAAAACAUGUUGCAGAUAAGAAUGAUAUGCGAGGAACGACUUGUAUUUUUUUCUCAAGCUAUUUGUUCUUCCAACACGAAAAUUAUCAGAUUUUUUAUUUUUAUUUGACAGUACUAGUUGU